UUCAGCGGCGGACGGGUGAGUAAUGCCUAGGAAUCUGCCCGAUAGUGGGGGACAACGUUUCGAAAGGAACGCUAAUACCGCAUACGUCCUACGGGAGAAAGCAGGGGACCUUCGGGCCUUGCGCUAUCGGAUGAGCCUAGGUCGGAUUAGCUAGUUGGUGGGGUAAAGGCUCACCAAGGCGACGAUCCGUAACUGGUCUGAGAGGAUGAUCAGUCACACUGGAACUGAGACACGGUCCAGACUCCUACGGGAGGCAGCAGUGGGGAAUAUUGGACAAUGGGCGAAAGCCUGAUCCAGCCAUGCCGCGUGUGUGAAGAAGGUCUUCGGAUUGUAAAGCACUUUAAGCUGGGAGGAAGGGCAGUAAGUUAAUACCUUGCUGUUUUGACGUUACCAGCAGAAUAAGCACCGGCUAACUUCGUGCCAGCAGCCGCGGUAAUACGAAGGGUGCAAGCGUUAAUCGGAAUUACUGGGCGUAAAGCGCGCGUAGGUGGUUCAGCAAGUUGGAUGUGAAAGCCCCGGGCUCAACCUGGGAACUGCAUCCAAAACUACUGGGCUAGAGUAUGGUAGAGGGUGGUGGAAUUUCCUGUGUAGCGGUGAAAUGCGUAGAUAUAGGAAGGAACACCAGUGGCGAAGGCGACCACCUGGACUAAUACUGACACUGAGGUGCGAAAGCGUGGGGAGCAAACAGGAUUAGAUACCCUGGUAGUCCACGCCGUAAACGAUGUCAACUAGUUGUUGGGUUCCUUGAGGACUUAGUAACGAAGCUAACGCGAUAAGUUGACCGCCUGGGGAGUACGGCCGCAAGGUUAAAACUCAAAUGAAUUGACGGGGGCCCGCACAAGCGGUGGAGCAUGUGGUUUAAUUCGAAAGCAACGCGAA
Molecule: ribosomal RNA, 879 nt
Filed under: uncultured bacterium
Lineage: Bacteria
Description: bacterial SSU rRNA
Rfam family: Bacterial small subunit ribosomal RNA
Source: RNAcentral